Molecule: ribosomal RNA, 336 nt
Filed under: uncultured Pseudomonadota bacterium
Lineage: Bacteria; Pseudomonadati; Pseudomonadota
Description: bacterial SSU rRNA
Rfam family: Bacterial small subunit ribosomal RNA
Source: RNAcentral
AACGAACGCUGGCGGCGUGCUUAACACAUGCAAGUCGAACGCGAAAGGGACUUCGGUCCUGAGUAAAGUGGCGCACGGGUGAGUAACGCGUGGAUAAUCUACCCAAUGAUCUGGGAUAACAUUUCGAAAGGGGUGCUAAUACCGGAUAAGACCACGGAGUCUUUGGACUCUGCGGUAAAAGGUGGGGACCUUCGGGCCUACCGUCAUCGGAUGAGUCCGCGUACCAUUAGCUAGUUGGUGGGGUAAAGCCUACCAAGGCGACGAUGGUUAGCUGGUCUGAGAGGAUGAUCAGCCACACUGGAACUGAGACACGGCCCAGACUCCUACGGGAGGCAG